GGGCUUGCCCUCUGAUUCAGCGGCGGACGGGUGAGUAAUGCCUAGGAAUCUGCCUGAUAGUGGGGGACAACGUUUCGAAAGGAACGCUAAUACCGCAUACGUCCUACGGGAGAAAGCAGGGGACCUUCGGGCCUUGCGCUAUCAGAUGAGCCUAGGUCGGAUUAGCUAGUUGGUGAGGUAACGGCUCACCAAGGCGACGAUCCGUAACUGGUCUGAGAGGAUGAUCAGUCACACUGGAACUGAGACACGGUCCAGACUCCUACGGGAGGCAGCAGUGGGGAAUAUUGGACAAUGGGCGAAAGCCUGAUCCAGCCAUGCCGCGUGUGUGAAGAAGGUCUUCGGAUUGUAAAGCACUUUAAGUUGGGAGGAAGGGCAUUAACCUAAUACGUUAGUGUUUUGACGUUACCGACAGAAUAAGCACCGGCUAACUUCGUGCCAGCAGCCGCGGUAAUACGAAGGGUGCAAGCGUUAAUCGGAAUUACUGGGCGUAAAGCGCGCGUAGGUGGUUUGUUAAGUUGAAUGUGAAAGCCCCGGGCUCAACCUGGGAACUGCAUCCAAAACUGGCAAGCUAGAGUAUGGCAGAGGGUGGUGGAAUUUCCUGUGUAGCGGUGAAAUGCGUAGAUAUAGGAAGGAACACCAGUGGCGAAGGCGACCACCUGGGCUAAUACUGACACUGAGGUGCGAAAGCG
This 689-nucleotide ribosomal RNA is filed under the name uncultured bacterium. RNAcentral describes it as "bacterial SSU rRNA". It matches the Rfam family "Bacterial small subunit ribosomal RNA", at positions 76 to 761 of the family's 1533-position model. The record is from RNAcentral.